UACGGAGGGUGCAAGCGUUAUCCGGAUUUACUGGGUUUAAAGGGUGCGCAGGCGGAUAUGUAAGUCAGUGGUGAAAUCUCCGGGCUUAACCCGGAAAUUGCCGUUGAUACUAUAUAUCUUGAAUGCUGUGGAGGUAAGCAGAAUAUGUCAUGUAGCGGUGAAAUGCUUAGAUAUGACAUAGAAUACCUAUUGCGAAGGCAGCUUACUACGCAGAUAUUGACGCUCAUGCACGAAAGCGUGGGGAUCAAACAGGA
Molecule: ribosomal RNA, 254 nt
Filed under: uncultured bacterium
Lineage: Bacteria
Description: partial 16S ribosomal RNA
Rfam family: Bacterial small subunit ribosomal RNA
Source: RNAcentral